Molecule: non-coding RNA, 47 nt
Filed under: unclassified sequences
Description: chromate-resist RNA
Rfam family: chrB-b RNA
Source: RNAcentral
ACGGGAUCGCAGACUCCCGUUCAGACGGUGUCCCGUCCAAGCGCUGC